This 376-nucleotide unclassified non-coding RNA is filed under the name soil metagenome. RNAcentral describes it as "partial contains 5.8S ribosomal RNA, internal transcribed spacer 2, and large subunit ribosomal RNA". The stretch from base 1 to 120 matches the Rfam family "5.8S ribosomal RNA", at positions 35 to 154 of the family's 154-position model. The record is from RNAcentral.
GAUGAAGAACGCAGCGAAAUGCGAUAAGUAAUGUGAAUUGCAGAAUUCAGUGAAUCAUCGGAUCUUUGAACGCAUCUUGCGCUCCUUGGUAUUCUGAGGAGCAUGCCUGUUUGAGUGUCAUUAAAUUCUCAACUACACUGACUUUGAAUUGGUGUGGCUUGGAUUUGGGGGGAAAAUUGUUGUGGGCUUUUUGUAUAGUCUGCUCCCCUGAAAUUGAUUAGCGGUACCUUUGUGGAACUGUCUACAGGUGUGAUAAUUAUCUACAUCUUAGACAUCUGCUGGAAUGCUGCUUUCUAAACCUUACUUGUAUUGACAAUCUUGACCUCAAAUCAGGUAGGACUACCCGCUGAACUUAAGCAUAUCAAUAAGCGGAGGA